Molecule: long non-coding RNA, 134 nt
Organism: Tympanuchus pallidicinctus (lesser prairie-chicken)
Lineage: Eukaryota; Metazoa; Chordata; Aves; Galliformes; Phasianidae
Exons: 4
Source: RefSeq, a predicted model, not a curated record
GGGAGAUUGGGGGGUGUUAUGGGGUGUUAUGGGGUGUUAUGGGGUGUUGGGGGGUGUUAUGGGGUGUUGGGGGGUGUUAUGGGGUGUUGGGGGGUGUUAUGGGGUGUUAUGGGGUGUUAUGGGGUGUUUAGGGG